RNAcentral lists this long non-coding RNA (269 nucleotides) under Cercocebus atys (sooty mangabey). RNAcentral's name for it is "lncRNA (ENSCATG00000045691.1)". Lineage: Eukaryota; Metazoa; Chordata; Mammalia; Primates; Cercopithecidae. The record is from RNAcentral.
CUCAUCUCCCCCCCAAAGCUUAUGAACAUCAGCAGCACAAUGAGACAGCUUGUCCAAGGGAAAUAUUAGAGAAGGAGGAGUAAUUGCUGUGCACUGAUGUUUGAAGAAAAUGAGAAUGAGAGAGAUUUCCUCAACAGAGGAAACUAUUGGCCUCAGAACCAAACUCACACUUGUUGCAACAGUUAAUUUUGCAAAAUCACAAAAACAAAAAAUAAAGUCAGGCCAAGUUACAGUAGUUUCCAGACAGCCACUUCUGUUCCUAUUCCAAG